Molecule: ribosomal RNA, 220 nt
Filed under: uncultured bacterium
Lineage: Bacteria
Description: partial 16S ribosomal RNA
Rfam family: Bacterial small subunit ribosomal RNA
Source: RNAcentral
UACGAAGGGGGCUAGCGUUGUUCGGAAUUACUGGGCGUAAAGCGCACGUAGGCGGACUUUUAAGUCAGGGGUGAAAUCCCGGGGCUCAACCUCGGAACUGCCUUUGAUACUGGAAGUCUUGAGUAUGGAAGAGGUAAAGUGGAAUUGCGAGUGUAGAGGUGAAAAUUCGUAGAUAUUCGCAGGAACACCAGUGGCGAAGGCGGCUACUGGUCCAUUACUG